Molecule: non-coding RNA, 132 nt
Organism: Parascedosporium putredinis
Lineage: Eukaryota; Fungi; Ascomycota; Sordariomycetes; Microascales; Microascaceae
Source: the annotation of a GenBank genome assembly
GGUAGCUUGGCCGAGGGGUUAAGGCGCCAGAUUUAAGUAAAUGCCUAGUUCUAGCGUAAACGCGCGGAGCCUGGAAUACCAUUGAAAUCUCUGGUCUCGAAAGAGUCGUGCGUUCGAAUCGCACAGCUACCA